GACGAACGCUGGCGGCGUGCUUAACACAUGCAAGUCGAACGGAAAGGCCCUGCUUUUGUGGGGUGCUCGAGUGGCGAACGGGUGAGUAACACGUGAGUAACCUGCCCUUGACUUUGGGAUAACUUCAGGAAACUGGGGCUAAUACCGGAUAGGAGCUCCUGCUGCAUGGUGGGGGUUGGAAAGUUUCGGCGGUUGGGGAUGGACUCGCGGCUUAUCAGCUUGUUGGUGGGGUAGUGGCUUACCAAGGCUUUGACGGGUAGCCGGCCUGGGAGGGUGACCGGCCAAGUGGGGGUAGAGAGACGGCCGGAGGGCAGCUUGGGGGAAGGGGGGGACCUGGAGCAAGAUGCGCGGAGGCAUGAAACAAGGGUGCCGGGUUGGAGAUGUCGGUCUUAAGGUAAUAAACCGCGUUAGACUGGAAAGAAGAGUGAGUGACGGUAGCGUACCAGAAAGGGACGGCUAACUACGUG
This 467-nucleotide ribosomal RNA is filed under the name uncultured bacterium. Its description in RNAcentral is "partial 16S ribosomal RNA". It matches the Rfam family "Bacterial small subunit ribosomal RNA", at positions 28 to 507 of the family's 1533-position model. The record is from RNAcentral.